Molecule: non-coding RNA, 21 nt
Filed under: Caenorhabditis elegans
Lineage: Eukaryota; Metazoa; Nematoda; Chromadorea; Rhabditida; Rhabditidae
Source: RNAcentral
UAAUCUUUUCAGAAAACAAUC